GACGAACGCUGGCGGCGUGCUUAACACAUGCAAGUCGAACGGAAAGGCCCUGCUUUUGGGGUAUUCGCGAGUGGCGAGCGGGUGUGUAACACGGGAGUAACCUGCCCUUGACUGUGGGAUAACUUCAGGAAACUGGGGAUAAUACCGGAGAGGAGCUCCUGCUGCAUGGGGUGGGUUGGAAAUUUUCGGCGGGUGGGGAUUGGCUCGCGGCUUAUCAGCUUGUUGGUGGGGUAGUGGCUUACCAAGGCUUGGACGGGUAGCCGGCUUGGGGGGGUGACCGGCACCAUUGGGCCUGGGAUCGGGCCCAGCCUCCACCGGGAGGCAGCAGUGGGGAAUAUUGCAAAAUGGCGGGAAGCCUGUUGAAGCACCGCGCGGUGCGGGAUGACGGCUUCCGGGUUGUAAACCGUUUCGGCAUGUGACGAAGCGUGAGUGACGGUACUGGGUAAAGAAGCACCGGCUAACUACGUG
RNAcentral lists this ribosomal RNA (468 nucleotides) under uncultured bacterium. RNAcentral's name for it is "partial 16S ribosomal RNA". It matches the Rfam family "Bacterial small subunit ribosomal RNA", at positions 28 to 507 of the family's 1533-position model. The record is from RNAcentral.